RNAcentral lists this ribosomal RNA (497 nucleotides) under uncultured bacterium. RNAcentral's name for it is "partial 16S ribosomal RNA". It matches the Rfam family "Bacterial small subunit ribosomal RNA", at positions 28 to 507 of the family's 1533-position model. The record is from RNAcentral.
GAUGAACGCUGGCGGCGUGCCUAAUACAUGCAAGUCGAGCGAAUAGACGAUGAGCUUUCUCCUCUGCGGUUAGCGGCUGACGGGUGAGUAACACGUGGAUAACCUACCUAUAAUACUUGGAGAACUUCGUGAAACCAGAUCUAAUACCGGAUAAUAUAUUGAACCGCAGGGUGCAAGAGUUAUAGACGGUUUUCGUGUCACAUAUAGAUGGAUUCGGUCCGCAUUAGCUAGUUGGUAAGGUAACGGCUUACCAAGGCAACGAUGCGUAGCCGACCUGAGAGGGUGAUCGGCCACACUGGAACUGAGACACGGUCCAGACUCCUACGGGAGGCAGCAGUAGGGAAUCUUCCGCAAUGGGCGAAAGCUUGACGGAGCCACACCGCGUGAGUGAUGAAGGUCUUCGGAUCGUAAAACCCUUUUAUUAGGAAAGAAAAACUGUGUAAGUAACCCCCGCCGUCCUGACGGUACCCAAUGAGAAAGCAACGGCUAACUACGUG